Triticum aestivum (bread wheat) is the source of this 7733-nucleotide RNA transcript. RefSeq lists it as uncharacterized. The transcript has 12 exons. NCBI's taxonomy places the organism in Eukaryota, Viridiplantae, Streptophyta, Magnoliopsida, Poales, Poaceae. The record is from RefSeq and is a predicted model, not a curated record.
UUAUUUAUUACCCCAGCGACCCAGCCACCGCGCACCUAUCUGCUCAUUUGCCACCGAAAAAUCCAGAGGAGGAACUGCAGGUAGAGCUCAUGGAGAACGCCAACCAAGUCCCAGAUCCGGUGGCCCUGCCUAGAGUCGCCUGCCCGGAUUGCGGGAGGAUAGUGGUGACGUUCGUGGCGAGGCGUGGUCAAUUCGCGGGGGAGCAUUUCUACAAGUGCCGCAAUCACAAUCCGGGCAGAGAUGGUUGCGACUUCCACCGGUGGCAAGAAGCAUACGCGGAACAUCUGGCUUCGCUUGGACCGGCGGCACCUCCAUUGGCACAAAUCAAUGCAGACGAGAACGAAAUUGGGGGAGCAAAUCAAGGUGGUCAUCUGCAGGCGGCGGAUGGCGAGGCCGGAAACCAGGGCGGAGGAUCGGAUGGGUCGCAGAUGUCGGCUGCAGGCGGUGCUGGAGGAUCUGUGCUUGAUGCGGCGGCAAGCGGCGCUGGAGGAUAUGUGCUUGGUGCGGCGGUGGUUGGCCGGCGUCCGGCUACUGUCGCACUGGACCCCGCAUCUAUCAAUCUGGUUGUUUCUGUGGGAAACAUGGUCAUUUGCAUCGCCAUCCUUGUACUGGUUGCAGCUUCAAGCAUGAUGCGUGUGUUUGAUUAGCGAUUAGGUGUGCUAAUCUUAGCUGGGUAUGGGUGCCCAGUAGAAGGCUUUAUAAUUAGCGGUAGCGGAGUUGCGUGUCAGGUCUAUGUUUAUGGCUUGGUCAGUUUUUGGGUGUGUGUUCGGGUUGGCUUGAUCAGCUUUUGGUUGUAUGUUCGGCUUGGACAGGCCAGUAUUAAUGAAAUGUCAGUACUUAAGCUAAUAAAAUCAGUGUGGAAAAAAACAAAUGGGUGAUGAAGUAACUCCGAUACGCAUGUACAACACGUGGCUGGACACUGUCCCGGUGUCCAUGCUACAAUGCGGGGGUAAAUGUGGUUGAAUUCGCGUGUGUAGCAUGGGACCGAGCGGACCGCGUCUUUUUGCUGAGCUACCUGUGAUUCUCAUCAAUCACAUUUUGCAGACGACAACGGUUGAAGCUGGCGCAUCAGCAGGCGGCACCAAGAGAGACGCAGAUCUGGUCUCACCAAGCGAUCCUGGAGGAGCGGAGGGCGGAGUUCUUGGUGUGCUUGUUGGCGGGCUUGCUCUAAGCUGGACUGAUGGAUGAAGAGGACGAAAAUCAUGGACCCGAAGGUGGAAGGCAGAUGGGAGGAGAAGAUCCGUUCGAUGGUGUUGAGUGGUCAUCAGAAGCUUCAGAGGAUCAGCCAGUGUUGACUUCACGGCUAUCAGUCAAGCAUGUUGUCGAGGUUAUCCAAAAGUUUGACGAUUACAAGAGGUGGCUUGUAUCCGAGAUUGGUUUUGAGGGGAUGCUGAAACUGCCAUUGUUGCAAAAGAUAGAUCUGAGGAUGAGUGCGUGGGUUAUGAGGAAGGUGGAGGUGAAAUCGCGUGUAAUUUCUAUUGAUAAAGACCGUUUGAUUUUGUUCACAGCAGAGGAUUUUCAUAAAAAAUUGGUGUUCCUUGUGGCAAUCGGGCUAUUCGUGGAAGGGAUGGUGAAAUCAGGAGUGCAGGAAUAGAGUUUAUUAAGCAGACAAUUGGAAUGAAUGGAUCAGCUACUAAUAAUCUUAAGGUUGCAGAAGACUUCACAAACAGGGAUAUUUCAGAAGAGUCGAGCAAGCUUGAGAAGGAUUGUUUUCAGAUAUCGUUUGUUAUUUUUGUCAUCGGCUACCUUUUGUCACCUGGCAUGAAGCAUGAGUACAAGAUGAUAGACUUUUAGGGUGCUGUGGCGAAUCAAGAGUUGAUAUCGCAAUUCAAUUGGUGUGAGUACGCUCUUCAGGAUCUGAUGGCAGCUGUGAUGAAGUUGAAGGUGGAGUAUAAGAACAAGGCGCAGAUAGUUCACUUAUUUGGAUGCCAUCUAUUCUUCCAGGUUUUCUUGCUGGACAACAUUGAUCUGGGGAUUUUCAACAUGGUGCAUACUGUAUUCCCUCGUAUUCAGUGUUUUGAUCAGAAAAGACUUAGGGAAAUGAUAGUGAUGGCGCGUUGUGAUCAGCGUGGUGUCGUAACUUAUGUCCCUGGAGCGGUGCGUCCUACAGAUUCGGUGUGUUAUACGCGUGUAGUUCUGGGGAGCCCACCAUGUGGAGUUGCUACAUCAAUUCCAUCAUCAUCGAAGCGACCAGUUGUUGGGUCCUUCGAGACACCAAAACGUGAAGCAAUGGUGGGCGGUGUAAGCGCCAACAAAAGCCCAGCAACUUCCCUGGGUGAUCCUAUGGAGAAUCGGUUUGUUGGUCUGAGUGAUUUCAGCAAGCAUCUUCGUCAGAUUUGCAAAGAUGAUUCGGUCUUGGAGGAGUUGAGCCUUAUGCUGAAACAACACAAUGUGAAGUGUACACUGAGUACGACAUUGCUGCGUAACCAAUUGCAGUCUAAUAUGUUUUGCUUUGCUGAGAAAAUGGUUGCAUUUGUGAAGGACCAAUGUAGAUGCUGUGCAAAAAAAGGGUUGUCCAAGUGUAUUACAAUUUGUGAAACUGGUAUUGCUCAAUGAUGUCUUCUUUCAGAUGUCAAUUUAUGUUGUGAUAAAACAAUAGAAGCUAUGUUUUCUGUUUGCUGUGUGGCGAAUGCUAGUUUUGUUGUAUAUAUUAUAUCAGAGCAGGUGGCGAUCGUCGGAGAGGAGUGAGUGAAGUGGGACGCAGGCUCGAGAUGUUUGAUGAUGAAGGUGCUAGCAAUGCGAAUGAUGAGGCUAAUGAGCAAAGAAUAAAAAGGAGCCGAAAUGUUAUAAACGAAAGCAGAAUGGACUUGCGAUAUAUGCACAAAAUAUCGUCGAGAUGGUUCAAUCCCUUCAUGAAAAUGAGUCACAGGAGGCAAAUGUUGUUUAUUUUAGUUCAACUGAAGCAAAGCUACCAAAGCGUAGGUAUGUUGCAUCUGCAAGUUUUUGCGGUGAUCCAUGGACACGGGGGUGUCUCCCGCAGCCGCCUCCAAUAGCAUUGACGAGCAAGUUCAAUUCAUGGAUAGCUGGAGGGAAUGAUUUUGACCGGGACAGUGUAUGGUUCCUGCACAUGGUUCCGAGACUUGUGAGGGUAAAUGCUGGAUGUGUCCAGCAGCAGAUGUUGGGGAUGAAUGCUCUUGAUCAUGAGGUCGUUACUCUUGUGUUGCGGAGGUUUUAUCAGCUUGACACUGCCGUGGAAGGAGCAAGCCCUUAGAUGUUGUGGAGGGAAGUUCUUGUGCCAGAUUUCUCGACACAUGUUCUUGCAGGGGAGAAAGUCCUGCAUAUCAAGGCUGUUCAGUGUCAGCUUGCAAACACGGUGCACGAUAUCACGGCUUGUAGGACGUUUUUUGUCCUUGUUAUUCUUGAUCAAGGUUGGGCUGCAUAUAUGUGGGACAUGCUGAGGAAGGAGAUUCAUGUCCUUGAUCCUAUGUGCCGCGAAGUUGAAGGUGCGGAGCAACGCCAUAUGAUGCAUCAGGAGGCAGUAUCGCAGAUUCACAAUGUAUUGUUCUGCUACUUGAAUGAGUUUUUUGCAAAGUGGCAUUGCACAUCUGAAAGAUGGAGAUGGAAGUUUCCGAGGAUUACUGCUGAUGUUUUCAACAGGGAGGAGUCUAGAAUUUGUAUGACCCAUGCAAUCAGGCAGUAUGAUGGGGACAAGAUGAAGUGGCCACUCACCAAGGUAAAUCUAUUGUCUGCUUUUUUGUCAUUAUUUGGAAAAAUGUAUUUGUUUUCUAUGUUUCAGUAGUUAGAUGCUCGACUGCUGGUUGACCGUGAGAAAUGCAGAAAAAUAUUGCAAUCUUUCGGAAGUUGGUUGCAUUUGAGGUCUUCCGUUUAUGUGAUGACCAUGGGAAGUUCAUUGCGGAGAGUGUUCUGCGCGUCGCAUUUGAUGAACCUGAGGGGUGAUGCAUAUGAAAUGGAUGUAUGGUCCGGAUGCUUUUUAGCAGCAUGCGAGGGGGUCGACUAAGUUGACAUGGGGAGUGAAGAAAAUGUGAGGACUUGCUGAAAUAAUGUAUUCAUUUAUGUAUGGCAGUUAUGAUGCAUGUCGUAUUAAGUACUAAGAUCGGAACUUUUUUAUAAUGCCUUGUUAGAAUCGGGCACCUCAACAGAUGCUUAAAUGUGAUGGGAAAAUGGAUUGAAAUUGCAAGGCUAACACAAUCGGAAUGGUCGAUGAUGGUUUAUAUUUGUGGUAGGAGUGGUUCCUUAUUUCUCGUGGCCUCAUUGUUAGUGUUGAAAUGAUUUUUUUCGAGAUUAUCCGGUGUGGGUACAUAUGGUGAUGGAAUUUCGAAGGUAUAGUGUGAGCGUUGGUUGACAGUGGUAGCAAGAGUUGCAUUAGGUGAGAUGGAGGUGCAUGGCGCCCCUCAUCAUUUUGAUGAUGGAAAAUCAUUUUUUGUUCGUAAUUAUUGUAGUGAGUGAGACAAAUUAACUAUUUCAGAAAGUGAGACAAAUUUAUUGGAAGUGAGUGUUAAAUGCUUACGAAACAGGGGUAUGAAACUCAUUGAGACCAAAAUUUGUAUUGUUUGCACAUAUUCUUGAGGUGAUAGAAAGUUUUCUUUGGUAGUGCAUUGGAGUUCUUUUUUUGUUUGUCUCAGGUGGGUUUCCGUGGAUUUUGACAUGUUAGGAGAGGUGGGAGUAGACUGGAUUUGAUAUGGGAGGAGUGUAUUAGGAACAGUCCUGUAGGAUUGGAGUAUCGUCAAAGAAUUAGAUAUGGACAGGGGUGUGUGGAAGCUUGCUAUCCAGGCGACAGAGCCUUGAGUUGGUCGUGUGGAAGCUUGCUAUCCAGGCGACAGAGCCUUGAGUUGGUCGCGAGAUCCUAUGAGUUUCACAUGUAGACUACCGCAAUUUGUUUCGGGUCUAAAAGCUUUGUUGUUCUUUGUUGUUGUUAGGUGGGUUUAAGUGGAACGAUGUGUAUUUUGGUGUUUCUUUUUGCGCAUUAUCAUAAUGAUGGCAAUGUUUAUCUUUGAAUAAAUGGUCAAUUUUCGUUUGUUGAGGGUGGUUUGGAUGAUUGUUAGGGAUGUGGCUUGUUUUGUUUGACAUGAAUUUAUGUGUUCCUCUAGAAGUGUUGCAUUAACCAAAUAGUUGUUUUUCGUACGGGUUUGUACUACAGGGGAAGAAAAGCACUGGUGGUAAUUCAAUGGAAAUGUGAAAAGGAUUUGAAUAUUAUGCUGCUUGAGUUGAUGUGGGUUGUUUGUUAUAUGUGGUCAUGCAGUCUGUGUUUCAGUGUACAUUUUUGCAAGCAUAAGAGAGCUUGUAGCAAUGAGGCAUUUGAUUAUUACAUUGUAAAAUGUGUUUAGCUGCAGUUGCUAAAUUUUUAGAACUUGAGAAUAUAAGUCAUACAUUCAAGCUUAUGAUAAAUGCAGGUCAAGCACACAUUUGCAGUUAAACACGUGAUGAGCUACUUGAGAGAAUGCAAAGCGAGCACUAGUAGACUUAGGUCUGACAUAAUUGACAUAACACAGUAAUUGUCUAGGAAAGAGACCACAGAGAAGUGCAUGACAUAGGUGGGAUAAUAGUUUUUGCCAUGCAACUUUGAUUGAAUUUAAACACAUUAAGGUGUGCCAUGCAUAUUGGUCACACUGACCAAGACCUAUAUGGUCUUCAGACUGAAGAAGGAUGGCUGGAUGCUAGCUCGGGUGUCUUGUGCACUUGUAGUAGUGGUACGGUGAUUCCUUGUACUUGUAGGAAAUAGAGGUUCAUUGCAUAGCGCGCCCGUAGAUAUCGCUCUGGAUGUGUGCUAUGUUGCCCUCUAUGUGGAGAACUUCGUAUGCCAUAUGCAUCCUCAUGUAUGCAAUUAAAGCCUGUACGCAGGACAAGUUAUAUGUUAUGAUUGUAUGUCAGUAUAUCAUCGUGAGUCGUAAUUUCGAGAUGUGAUAACUUACUAGGGUUGGCUUUAUCAUCAGCUUGUCACCAUCAAAUUCCUUGAUGUAAUGGAGUACAUAGAAGCCACUGUUAGAUCUGCAUCAUUUUAUAGGUAGCAAAGCAUAAGUGACGGUUAAAGAAUAAGCAUUUGCUAAAUUAUUGAAAGACAACAACUUUUGGUGGAUAAACUCACGUAGUGCAAUUUUCAUGCAUGUUGUACUUGUAUUUGCAUGACCAUGAUGAAGUAUGAAAUUUCCACUCUGGAUAACAUCCGUUCAGGCAGUUGAACAGGCAGCGCAGAAUGCGUUUGCUUAUUUCUCCAUGCUUUGCCUCCAUUGUACCUUUGUGGGAGUUUGUCAACAUGGGAUCCAUUACAAGCAGAGUUUUGGCCUUGAUGUCUACCUCAUAAAGGCACCAUCCCCCAUCGACAAGUAGUAUAAUCUGAAACUGUUUUUUUGUGAAAGAAGGGCAAUUAAGUUAAUUUUCCAUACAUUUUUUAAAUGCACAAGGAAUGGUAAAAGCAGGAUAGAAUGUUGAUGGUUUUUUGGUCGACUUACUUUCUUGGAAUACUGCAUGUUGUAUUUUAGGUUCUUCCUACUAAACAUCCAGUAUACUUGUUGCAUUUGAUCUGCCUUGCUACUGGAAAGGACCUGAUCCUAUAAAAAUCAUAUAUAGAUGGACAUCAAGCACAAUUCAAGAGUUAUUUCUGAUGUUUUCAAGCAUAAGGGUAAUCCUUUUCUUUCAUUUUUUGUGAUUCAAGUUAUGCAUUUUUUGUACCGCAAAUGUUUGAUCUAAUAUUGUCCUGUAUCGCGAACUUCCUUCUAGAUAGAGCUUGCUUUCUUUCAUGUGAAGAACUCGUACUGAUACAGACAUGCCAUCACUCUUGAGCCCUCAUCCGACACCAAAGUUCUUCAUUAUGGAAUGCCCAGUCAAAACCACAGAGUAGGGGUGAGGGUGUGAAACCAUUUUCCUGCAGCAAUACUGUAUCAUGUUUAGUUUGGAGAGGAAGAAUCAAAAGUUUUAUUGAAGAUGAUGUAAGGGGAAUGGUCAGAUGGGAUUGAUGACCUGCGAAGUUCACGUGAGUCCCACUUUUGUAUUUCAUCGUAGUAGUUGUACAGAACACAGGGAUCGGGUUCAUCUUUUGAUAUCCUUGCAAACACUGGAGUUGGAACUUCUGGUUCAUUUCGAUUUGAUGCAACAACUGCUGCAGCAGCUAGCAUGUCCCAGUUGUUGUUUCCGGCUGGGAAUACAGGGUUGUGUAGCAAUGCUGAUAGGUAUGCUUAAGAAGAUAAAUAUGCAAGCUAUGGAAGAGAUUAACAAAUCUUGAAAUGAUGGGGGCACAUGGAUGGUGGUACCUGACACUAUGUCCAUACUCCCGCUUGAUAGCACAUGGUAUAUGUUGGGAUUAUUGGAGCCUGCCGCAACUGCAUUUUUAAUAUAUGGGGUGGUGAGAGUUGUGAAUUUAAAGUUUAAAUGUAGCUGCUUGGAGUUUAGACUGCUUGAUUUGUGUAAGCGUAGUUUCUUUCAAAAACUGAAGUGUUGUUUACCUGUUGCCAGCAAGUCCAUGGCAGAGGAGUCAGGAGCUUGACUGGAUGUUGGACUUGUAUCCCAUUUUGGACGUGUGACUGUUUUGGAAGUAACAUAUUAUAGAAAAUCAGGUAACAAAGAGUGCGGGACAUAAUCAGUGACACUAUGAGUUGAAAUAUGUAUAGUCUAUAUGUUUGCUGUGUGAGACAUGAUCAUACCCGGAGGAGUAUUUGAGUUUUGCAGAACAAAAGGAGUUGUACUUGAUAAAACAUGUGCCUUAUUGGUUGUUGUACUUGUGGUACACUUGAAUGGUUUGCCAGCUUUGCAGACAGGGAAAUAAAAAGCUAAUUAUAAUC